GAAGGUAUAGCUCAGUGAUAGUGUGUGCUUAGCAUGCACAAGGUCCUGAGUUCAAUCCCCAGUACCUCCG
This 70-nucleotide transfer RNA is filed under the name Camelus bactrianus (Bactrian camel). It matches the Rfam family "tRNA". Rfam says of the family: Transfer RNA (tRNA) molecules are approximately 80 nucleotides in length. The record is from Rfam by way of RNAcentral. Lineage: Eukaryota; Metazoa; Chordata; Mammalia; Artiodactyla; Camelidae. RNAcentral also lists the same sequence under 3 other names.